GAUGAACGCUGGCGGCGUGCCUAAUACAUGCAAGUAGAACGCUGAAGGAAGGAGCUUGCUCUUUCCGGAUGAGUUGCGAACGGGUGAGUAACGCGUAGGUAACCUGCCUGGUAGCGGGGGAUAAUUAUUGGAAACGAUAGCUAAUACCGCAUAACAGUAGAUGUUGCAUGACAACUAUUUGAAAGGGGCAAUUGCUCCACUACCAGAUGGACCUGCGUUGUAUUAGCUAGUUGGUGAGGUAACGGCUCACCAAGGCGACGAUACAUAGCCGACCUGAGAGGGUGAUCGGCCACACUGGGACUGAGACACGGCCCAGACUCCUACGGGAGGCAGCAGUAGGGAAUCUUCGGCAAUGGACGGAAGUCUGACCGAGCAACGCCGCGUGAGUGAAGAAGGUUUUCGGAUCGUAAAGCUCUGUUGUAAGAGAAGAACGAGUGUGAGAGUGGAAAGUUCACACUGUGACGGUAUCUUACCAGAAAGGGACGGCUAACUACGUG
Molecule: ribosomal RNA, 497 nt
Filed under: uncultured bacterium
Lineage: Bacteria
Description: partial 16S ribosomal RNA
Rfam family: Bacterial small subunit ribosomal RNA
Source: RNAcentral